AUGGCAUCGCCGCCGCCGUGGUCCGAGUCCGACGACCUCUUGGGUCUCUUCGCCGCCGUACUCCAUGGGGCGUGCUGUUCCAGCUGGCACUCCGUUGCUUCCCAGCCAUCUUCUUCGCCGUGGUCGGAGCUCCCACAGGAGAUCCUUGGUCUCGUGAUGGCCGGCCUCCCUAACCUGGCAGAUCGCGCCCGCUUCCAAGCGGUGUGCCGUUCCUGGCGCUCAUCGGCUCCCUCUCCGCCGCCGCAGGUGCCGUGGAUGCAAGCGGUAAUUCUUUCCUGGCAAUCAGUUUUCUCCCCGCCUCCGCCGCGGCGGCCAUGGAAUUGGAUCCACGCGGUGUGCCGCCGUUCGCCGCAGCGGCGGACACCUUGGAUUGCGCUACAUGGCGGCUUCUACAAUAAGCACGGGCGCGCCCGCACUCACCCUGGAGGGUGCUGA
This 435-nucleotide ribosomal RNA is filed under the name Triticum aestivum (bread wheat). Its description in RNAcentral is "partial small subunit ribosomal RNA". The record is from RNAcentral. Lineage: Eukaryota; Viridiplantae; Streptophyta; Magnoliopsida; Poales; Poaceae.